This 542-nucleotide ribosomal RNA is filed under the name Bacillus subtilis. RNAcentral's name for it is "bacterial SSU rRNA". It matches the Rfam family "Bacterial small subunit ribosomal RNA", at positions 62 to 586 of the family's 1533-position model. Lineage: Bacteria; Bacillati; Bacillota; Bacilli; Caryophanales; Bacillaceae. The record is from RNAcentral.
UCGAGCGGAUCGAUGGGAGCUUGCUCCCUGAGAUCAGCGGCGGACGGGUGAGUAACACGUGGGUAACCUGCCUGUAAGACUGGGAUAACUCCGGGAAACCGGGGCUAAUACCGGAUAACACCUACCCCCGCAUGGGGGAAGGUUGAAAGGUGGCUUCGGCUAUCACUUACAGAUGGACCCGCGGCGCAUUAGCUAGUUGGUGAGGUAAUGGCUCACCAAGGCGACGAUGCGUAGCCGACCUGAGAGGGUGAUCGGCCACACUGGGACUGAGACACGGCCCAGACUCCUACGGGAGGCAGCAGUAGGGAAUCUUCCGCAAUGGACGAAAGUCUGACGGAGCAACGCCGCGUGAGUGAAGAAGGUUUUCGGAUCGUAAAACUCUGUUGUUAGGGAAGAACAAGUGCCGUUCGAAUAGGGCGGCGCCUUGACGGUACCUAACCAGAAAGCCACGGCUAACUACGUGCCAGCAGCCGCGGUAAUACGUAGGUGGCAAGCGUUGUCCGGAAUUAUUGGGCGUAAAGCGCGCGCAGGUGGUUUCUUAA